This is a transfer RNA of Camelus ferus (Wild Bactrian camel), 72 nucleotides long. It matches the Rfam family "tRNA". Rfam says of the family: Transfer RNA (tRNA) molecules are approximately 80 nucleotides in length. Their secondary structure includes four short double-helical elements and three loops (D, anti-codon, and T loops). Further hydrogen bonds mediate the characteristic L-shaped molecular structure. tRNAs have two regions of fundamental functional importance: the anti-codon, which is responsible for specific mRNA codon recognition, and the 3' end, to which the tRNAs corresponding amino acid is attached (by aminoacyl-tRNA synthetases). tRNAs cope with the degeneracy of the genetic code in two manners: having more than one tRNA (with a specific anti-codon) for a particular amino acid; and 'wobble' base-pairing, i.e. permitting non-standard base-pairing at the 3rd anti-codon position. The record is from Rfam. NCBI's taxonomy places the organism in Eukaryota, Metazoa, Chordata, Mammalia, Artiodactyla, Camelidae.
GAGGGUAUAGCUCAGUGGUAAAGCAUAUGUGUAGCAUGCAUGAGGUCCUGGGUUCAAUCCCCAGUAUCUCCA